This is a small nucleolar RNA of Acomys russatus (golden spiny mouse), 138 nucleotides long. The record is from RefSeq and is a predicted model, not a curated record. NCBI's taxonomy places the organism in Eukaryota, Metazoa, Chordata, Mammalia, Rodentia, Muridae.
UUGGCUCUGAAUCAAAGCCAGCAGUUUGCUGAAGCUGUGGCUUUCAAGCAGGUGCUUAAAUAAAUGACUUUCUGUGGUCUGUUGGCCACUUCAGAAACUUAAAAAUGGUAUUGGUCAGUUCAUUAGAGAUAAACAUCU